CGCGGCCUAUCAGCUUGUUGGUGGGGUAGUGGCCUACCAAGGCGACGACGGGUAGCCGGCCUGAGAGGGUGACCGGCCACACUGGGACUGAGACACGGCCCAGACUCCUACGGGAGGCAGCAGUGGGGAAUAUUGCGCAAUGGGCGAAAGCCUGACGCAGCGACGCCGCGUGAGGGAUGACGGCCUUCGGGUUGUAAACCUCUUUCAGUAGGGACGAAGCGCAAGUGACGGUACCUACAGAAGAAGCACCGGCCAACUACGUGCCAGCAGCCGCGGUAAUACGUAGGGUGCAAGCGUUGUCCGGAAUUAUUGGGCGUAAAGAGCUCGUAGGCGGUCUGUCGCGUCGGCUGUGAAAACCCGAGGCUCAACCUCGGGCCUGCAAUCGAUACGGGCAGACUGGAGUACUGCAGGGGAGACUGGAAUUCCUGGUGUAGCGGUGAAAUGCGCAGAUAUCAGGAGGAACACCGGUGGCGAAGGCGGGUCUCUGGGCAGUUACUGACGCUGAGGAGCGAAAGCGUGGGGAGCGAACAGGAUUAGAUACCCUGGUAGUCCACGCCGUAAACGUUGGGCGCUAGGUGUGGGGGCCAUUCCACGGUCUCCGUGCCGCAGCUAACGCAUUAAGUGCCCCGCCUGGGGAGUACGG
Molecule: ribosomal RNA, 643 nt
Filed under: uncultured bacterium
Lineage: Bacteria
Description: bacterial SSU rRNA
Rfam family: Bacterial small subunit ribosomal RNA
Source: RNAcentral